GCUGCUUCCCAACAGGAAAACGGCGCUGGACGCGAGCUUCUCCUCCUCAUCCUCCACUGCGCACCCCAGUUCCCUGGGACUCACAGCCAGCUGGGCGAUAUCAGAUGUAAUGCACGUGUAUUUGGACACCUGCACUCUUUACACCUGUUUCCAGUGAUCACCAGGAAUUUACUAAGGAAUCUGCUACUGGACACUGACAAACAAAAAUGUUGUACCAGCUAGUGCAUAAAGUCCACUGUCCAUAAAAAGAAGGCUUUCCUGUAACCACCUUAGCCUUGUAACAGCACUAAAUAAAACCCACCAGAACUACAGGCCUUCUUCUUUAGACCACCUAGAAGUCUUUUUUUCUCCAGUGAGGAUGAACUACUGAGGUAUGAAUGUGCUGAGUGUCCAUGCCUGGAGUUACAAGGAGCACACUUUGGGCACACAGCCUGUGCACACACUGCUGUUUCUCUCCCAAACUAAGCAGAAAGUUUCACACUGAG
Molecule: long non-coding RNA, 485 nt
Organism: Zonotrichia leucophrys gambelii
Lineage: Eukaryota; Metazoa; Chordata; Aves; Passeriformes; Passerellidae
Exons: 4
Source: RefSeq, a predicted model, not a curated record